This is a non-coding RNA of Acanthosepion pharaonis, 101 nucleotides long. The record is from the annotation of a GenBank genome assembly. NCBI's taxonomy places the organism in Eukaryota, Metazoa, Mollusca, Cephalopoda, Sepiida, Sepiidae.
UGUUGAAACACCGGUAUCCCAUACGAUCACCGAAGUUAAGUCACAGCGUGACUGGUCUGUCCCUAGAUGGGUGACCACUUGGGAAUACCAGGUGCUGUAAG